AACGGGAUUUAGUAAACAGAAGCUUCGGUGGAAGAUUACUAAUGAGAGUGGCGAACGGGUGAGUAACGCGUGAGCAACCUGCCUAUGACAGUGGGAUAGCCUCGGGAAACCGGGAUUAAUACCGCAUAAAAUCGUAGAAACACAUGUUUUAACGGUCAAAGAUUUAUCGGUCAUAGAUGGGCUCGCGUCUGAUUAGCUAGUUGGUGAGAUAACAGCCCACCAAGGCGACGAUCAGUAGCCGGUCUGAGAGGAUGAACGGCCACAUUGGAACUGAGACACGGUCCAAACUCCUACGGGAGGCAGCAGUGGGGAAUAUUGCACAAUGGGGGAAACCCUGAUGCAGCGACGCCGCGUGAACGAAGAAGGUAUUCGUAUCGUAAAGUUCUGUCCUAUGGGAAGAUAAUGACAGUACCAUAGAAGAAAGCUCCGGCUAAAAC
RNAcentral lists this ribosomal RNA (437 nucleotides) under uncultured Finegoldia sp. RNAcentral describes it as "bacterial SSU rRNA". It matches the Rfam family "Bacterial small subunit ribosomal RNA", at positions 65 to 503 of the family's 1533-position model. Lineage: Bacteria; Bacillati; Bacillota; Tissierellia; Tissierellales; Peptoniphilaceae. The record is from RNAcentral.